UACGAAGGGGGCUAGCGUUGCUCGGAAUCACUGGGCGUAAAGCGCACGUAGGCGGCUUUUUAAGUCAGGGGUGAAAUCCUGGAGCUCAACUCCAGAACUGCAUUUGAUACUGGGAAGCUUGAGUCCGGAAGAGGUGAGUGGAACUCCGAGUGUAGAGGUGAAAUUCGUAGAUAUUCGGAAGAACACCAGUGGCGAAGGCGGCUCACUGGUCCGGUACUGACGCUGAGGUGCGAAAGCGUGGGGAGCAAACAGG
This 253-nucleotide ribosomal RNA is filed under the name uncultured bacterium. RNAcentral's name for it is "partial 16S ribosomal RNA". It matches the Rfam family "Bacterial small subunit ribosomal RNA", at positions 524 to 776 of the family's 1533-position model. The record is from RNAcentral.